Molecule: ribosomal RNA, 301 nt
Filed under: uncultured bacterium
Lineage: Bacteria
Description: partial 16S ribosomal RNA
Rfam family: Bacterial small subunit ribosomal RNA
Source: RNAcentral
CAGCAGCCGCGGUAAGACAGAGGAUGCAAGCGUUAUCUGGAGUGAUUGGGCAUAAAGUGUCUGUAGGUGGCUUUUCAAGUCCGCCGUCAAAUCCCAGGGCUCAACCGUGGACAGGCGGUGGAAACUACCAAGCAGGAGUAUGGUAGGGGCAGAGGGAAUUUCCGGUGGAGCGGUGAAGUGCGUUGAGAUCGGAAAGAACACCAGUGGCGAAGGCGACUCUCUGGUCUGUAACUGACGCUGAGGAGCGAAAGCGUGGGGAGCGAACAGGAUUAGAUACCCCAGUAGUCCCUGUCUCUUAUAC